GUGAGAUUUAUUUUUGUCAUCUGUACUUGUUUUCUGAGACAAACCUCACUGAAAAUAUCUAACAUACUUCAACUUUGUUAUUAGAUGCAUUGCUCCUUUUUGACAAACCUUUAUAUAAACUUUCUGCUUAAGUUUUUCCUUUCUGUUCUUUUCUAUCAUUCUGAUCCUGUUUUUAUUAUAUUUUGCUUGUCUUUGUAUCUACUCCUAAAGUAAACAAUUUAGAUGCCAAGGAAGCUAUUUUCCAGCAUGUUAUAAUUUCAUAUUGAUUCAAACUUUCCAACCCUUCGCAGAUAAUAUGCAGAUUGGCAUUGGUGAUGUUAGAUAGUUAUGACAUAUCAUUUCUCAAAUUGUAACUAU
Molecule: unclassified non-coding RNA, 357 nt
Filed under: Hevea brasiliensis (rubber tree)
Lineage: Eukaryota; Viridiplantae; Streptophyta; Magnoliopsida; Malpighiales; Euphorbiaceae
Source: RNAcentral